GGUAGAGUACCAAUGGCCCUAACUGAAGACCGGCAGUUAGUUAUACUGUAGCUGUCGGUUUCAAGCAGAGGCCUAAAGGACUGUCUUCCU
This 90-nucleotide microRNA precursor is filed under the name Carlito syrichta (Philippine tarsier). RNAcentral's name for it is "miRNA (ENSTSYG00000027873.1)". The record is from RNAcentral. Lineage: Eukaryota; Metazoa; Chordata; Mammalia; Primates; Tarsiidae.